This is a long non-coding RNA of Adelges cooleyi (spruce gall adelgid), 1564 nucleotides long. RefSeq lists it as uncharacterized. The record is from RefSeq and is a predicted model, not a curated record. NCBI's taxonomy places the organism in Eukaryota, Metazoa, Arthropoda, Insecta, Hemiptera, Adelgidae. The transcript has 5 exons.
GCAGUCUGCAGUGAACUGAGUUUUGUUUAGUGGAUUUGGGAUUACGUCCCAAACGACGUUUGUCUGUACUUGAUCAACAUAAAUAUAGCUACGCAUAACAGAUUUUUGUUAGGAUGGAUUUAGAGGAAAAUAUCUGAUAUGUAACCGAAAAAUAUUUUAUAUUAUGUCGACGGUGUUUUGUAAAAAUGGCGUAUACUAUAAAAAUCGAAAAAUUUGUUUUGGCAUUAAUAUUUUCCGAAAAAAUGGGCGCAUAAUCUGUAAAAAGGGCGGCUACAAAUAUUGAUGUUAAGUGUUAACUCUAUGUGCAGCGUUGGAUUUCUCAUCCAAAUGCCCAAAUACUGUUAUGUAAAAAGUACGUUAACACAGACAAGAGAAAAAAUAAAAGCGACAGGCGUUCGAAUCACUGAACUUAGUAUUGAGAUAUUCAACAUUAUCAUUCGUUAUAUUGACUAUUGAGUCAUAGAUAAGUAUAUAAAUGUAUUGAGUUCAGUGUGUGAGAGUGAGAUAGGCUAUAAAGAGGAUUUUUUUAUGGAGCCUACUAAUUAAUAGUUUGUUGUUCCGUGACAAAAUAAAUUAUUGAUAACCCUAUGAUAAAACAGAGUAAACUAUGUGAUAAAAUAUUGAAUAAGCUAAAUUUAAACAAGCAUUGUUUUUUUAGCGGCAGGUAGUUUAAAACAUUAAAAUUUUAAAUUGUCGUGUCAUUCUUCUAGUGUUUUUUUGUUAAGUAGAUAUUUGAAUUUUAAAUAAAAUGGUUCACAUAUGCUGUAGUUGUGGUUCAGAUAAAACUUCUUCCAUAAAACUACAUGGAUUUUCCAAAGAAAGUGAUUUAAGGCAAAAAUGGAUUUCUGCUAUGAAUAAAGGUCUUACAGCGGUAACUCAGCAUAGACUUUGUAGCCUUCAUUUUAAAGAUAAUUAUUAUUCACCAUCAUAUGGAAACCUUAUUUUAAAACUAGUUUCUGUGCCAUCACUAUUUGUUAACAUAAAAAAAUCAUUAACAUCAAAGUUAUAAAUAGUUGACAAAAGUCCUGUUCAAAGGAUUGAUUUUUCUACGGGAGAAAAUUCAUAAGUCAAGAGACCAUGUUGUAUGAUUUUUUGACAGCACUGUUUUUGACCCAACGCUAUAAUAAACAACACAAUUUUUGGGUCCACUCCAUUUUCUUAAUGGGUUGCCAUAAAAGUUAUGCAGUGGGCAUCUCUAUACAUCACUAACCAAGUGGAAAUCAAAGCAAAUGUUUGAAUUCCUUAUAAUUAUCAGUUUCUAAAAAUGACAAAAGUUAUUCACCUAAACAAAGUCAUUUAUAUAAACGAGAUAAUGAAAUUGAACUGUUAGCAAACCUAUUUACAUAGUCACCCGGCUUUUUAACUUCAAAGACUAACAAUAACUAUAGUAUUGAUUCAAAACACAAUUGAGCAUUGUUAAAGGAAGAGUGAAUACCCGAACAGACAAUGUGAAGAGAAAUGUACGAAUUGGAGAGUUCUCGCCACUUAAUCCUGCCAAUCAAGUAAAUUCCAAGCCAUUUUUAGGAAUUGGAGAAUACGAUGAUAAAAGAAAAAAAUUAUUGGC